RNAcentral lists this ribosomal RNA (430 nucleotides) under Fusobacteriota bacterium. Its description in RNAcentral is "Fusobacteria bacterium partial 16S ribosomal RNA". It matches the Rfam family "Bacterial small subunit ribosomal RNA", at positions 355 to 776 of the family's 1533-position model. The record is from RNAcentral. Lineage: Bacteria; Fusobacteriati; Fusobacteriota.
UGGGGAAUAUUGGACAAUGGGCGGAAGCCUGAUCCAGCCAUGCCGCGUGUGUGAAGAAGGCCUUUUGGUUGUAAAGCACUUUAAGCGAGGAGGAGGCUACUUGGAUUAAUACUCUAGGAUAGUGGACGUUACUUGCAGAAUAAGCACCGGCUAACUCUGUGCCAGCAGCCGCGGUAAUACAGAGGGUGCGAGCGUUAAUCGGAUUUACUGGGCGUAAAGCGUGCGUAGGCGGCUUCUUAAGUCGGAUGUGAAAUCCCUGGGCUUAACUUAGGAAUUGCAUUCGAUACUGGGAAGCUAGAGUAUGGGAGAGGAUGGUAGAAUUCCAGGUGUAGCGGUGAAAUGCGUAGAGAUCUGGAGGAAUACCGAUGGCGAAGGCAGCCAUCUGGCCUAAUACUGACGCUGAGGUACGAAAGCAUGGGGAGCAAACAGG